UCGAGAAUCUUCCGCAAUGGGCGCAAGCCUGACGGAGCGACGCCGCGUGCGGGAUGAAGGCCUUCGGGUUGUAAACCGCUGUCAGUGGGGUGGAAAUGCAUGAGGGUUCUCUCUCAUGUUUGACCUAACCGCAGAGGAAGUCCGGGCUAAGUACGUGCCAGCAGCCGCGGUAAUACGUACCGGACGAACGUUAUUCGGAAUUACUGGGCUUAAAGAGUGCGUAGGCGGCCUGGUAGGUGGGGUGUGAAAUCCACGGCUCAACCGUGGAAUGGCGCUCCAAACCACUAGGCUUGAGGGAGACAGGGGUGAGCGGAACUGAUGGUGGAGCGGUGAAAUGCGUUGAUAUCAUCAGGAACACCGGUGGCGAAGGCGGCUCACUGGGUCUUAUCUGACGCUGAGGCACGAAAGCUAGGGGAGCGAACGGGAUUAGAUACCCCGGUAGUCCUAGCUGUAAACGAUGAGCACUAGAUCGGA
This 474-nucleotide ribosomal RNA is filed under the name uncultured Planctomycetota bacterium. RNAcentral describes it as "bacterial SSU rRNA". It matches the Rfam family "Bacterial small subunit ribosomal RNA", at positions 355 to 825 of the family's 1533-position model. Lineage: Bacteria; Pseudomonadati; Planctomycetota. The record is from RNAcentral.